RNAcentral lists this long non-coding RNA (349 nucleotides) under Pogona vitticeps (central bearded dragon). RNAcentral's name for it is "lncRNA (ENSPVIG00000025629.1)". The record is from RNAcentral. Lineage: Eukaryota; Metazoa; Chordata; Lepidosauria; Squamata; Agamidae.
GUUAGUUUUGCACCUUACUCAGCUGCUAAUCCCUUGACAGCCUAGAACUGCUUUACUCAUCCUCCUUGUACGUGGAACUGACAUAACCUACCAUUGUUCCAGUUUUUAAAAUGCACAGUUGAAAAGCCUUAAGUGUUUAUGGCAAACCUCUGUUUCUGAAAAUGCCACAAGCCUACCGAGCCAGGAACUGUGGAAACAAAGACGCUGAUGUAUGUGCCCAGGUACUCCUGUUGACACCUGCGCCGGGUCCCCGUUAAAAACAAAAAAACCAUCUUUCUAAUCAAAGGUAGGCCAGAGACUCAUUCAAAUUGACCUGCACAAUGGCAGUUGGUGGGCAUCACUACCUGGU